Molecule: ribosomal RNA, 484 nt
Filed under: uncultured bacterium
Lineage: Bacteria
Description: partial 16S ribosomal RNA
Rfam family: Bacterial small subunit ribosomal RNA
Source: RNAcentral
AUUGAACGCUGGCGGCAGGCCUAACACAUGCAAGUCGAGCGGAUGAAGGGAGCUUGCUCCUGGAUUCAGCGGCGGACGGGUGAGUAAUUCCUAGGAAUCUGCCUGGUAGUGGGUGAUAACGUCCGGAAACGGGCGCUAAUACCGCAUACGUCCUGAGGGAGUAAGUGUGGGAUCUUCGGACCUCACGCUAUCAGAUGAGCCUAGGUCGGAUUAGCUAGUUGGUGGGGUAAAGGCCUACCAAGGCGACGAUCCGUAACUGGUCUGAGAGGAUGAUCAGUCACACUGGAACUGAGACACGGUCCAGACUCCUACGGGAGGCAGCAGUGGGGAAUAUUGGACAAUGGGCGCAAGCCUGAUCCAGCCAUGCCGCGUGUGUGAAGAAGGUCUUCGGAUUGUAAAGCACUUUAAGUUGGGAAGAAGGGCAGUAAGUUAAUACCUUGCUGUUUUGACGUUACCAACAGAAUAAGCACCGGCUAACUUCGUG